GCGAGAGGUCUGCUGUUAGUCUGAUGGGCUUCUUUUUGUAGGUGACCCUAUCUUUCUUUCUGGCUGCCCUUACAAUUUUUUCCUUCUUUUUGACUUUGGAGAAUCUGAAGAUUAUGUGUGUUGGUGUUAAUCUUCUCAUGGAGUAUCUUACUGAGGUUCUCUGAAUUUCCUGAAUUUGAAUGUUGGCUUGUCUUGCUAGGUUGGGGAAGUUCUCCUGGAUAAUAUCUUAAAUCAGGCCCUUCUUCAGUAGGGCUGCUGCAGUUUGCUGGGGUGAACUCCAGACCUGAAUUUCCUGGGUCUCUCCUGCACCCGGAGAUGUCACCAGUGGAGGCUGCAGAAGAGAAAAGAUGACUGCCUCUUCUUCUGGGAUCUCUGUCCCACAGGGACUCUGACCUGGUGCUGGUGGAAAUGCUUCUAUACAAGGUCACGCCAAAUGCCUAGUCAACCCUAAUGAGAGAACCUAGAUACCUCACCUGCCGAUGCAGCAUUCACUUGCCAUUUUCUUUCUUCUUGGUGGGCGUUUCCGACCAUAGCUGUUUCUAGUUGGCCAUCUUGGCACCCCACCUCUUAAUACUGUCACAAUUACAAUAGAAUUUGAACAUGAGUCUUGAUACGAAUAUUCAAACCAUAACAUCCAGUCUACUGAAGAGGCCAUUAAAGAGGGAAGUCUCCAGGAAUUUACAUCACUU
This 689-nucleotide long non-coding RNA is filed under the name Homo sapiens (human). RNAcentral describes it as "HSALNT0322246". The record is from RNAcentral. Lineage: Eukaryota; Metazoa; Chordata; Mammalia; Primates; Hominidae.